GAAAUGCGCAACGGGGUCUUCCGUUUUCUUAAAAGUUUUACGUGCAGGUGUCAUAGAAGCUAUUGUCACCAAAAAAGCCUCUCUGCCCCAUGGAAAAUUACAAAACGCGUCAAUGUCGUCAACAAGUCUAACAUAUCUAGGCGUUGGCUGGUGUAUCUGAUUUCUGGCUAUUAAAACACACUCAACUAUCAGAAUGAGAACAAGACGCAGCUUUCGCCCACCACUCAUGUUUUUACCC
This 238-nucleotide long non-coding RNA is filed under the name Eutrema salsugineum. RNAcentral's name for it is "long non-coding RNA (ESAL_LNC001249)". The record is from RNAcentral. Lineage: Eukaryota; Viridiplantae; Streptophyta; Magnoliopsida; Brassicales; Brassicaceae.